AACUUCAGAGUUUCAGAAGUGGCUGCACAAAAGUAAUACUUGAUUCUCGUUAUCUAUGUUCAGUUGUAGAAUUGGUGGAAAUGGGUUAAGGAAAAGCUUUUCCUCAACAAGAGACAAAUGACAGCUCCUCCCCCAAAGACAACCAUCUCUCUGUGUUGCUGUUUUGUUGUGUUUAAUUAUCACCUUUCAAAGAGAUAAUGUAUCGUACCAUAUACUUGGAUCUGUACCAUAUUGGGGUUCUUCUUCCUGUGCCUUACUAUACUGAACACUUCUACAAGUGCAAACCUGGACUUCUUCCUCAGUCCUAAACUUCUUACUUCGUAACUCCUUCACACUAUGGUGUGAUCAUCAUAUACAUGUUUGGCCAUUCAUGCAAUAACAACUCCUACUAUUCAAGCACAAAGAAAAUCUCACUUUAUGUGAAAAUAUGUAAUGCACA
This is a long non-coding RNA of Mus spicilegus (steppe mouse), 439 nucleotides long. NCBI's taxonomy places the organism in Eukaryota, Metazoa, Chordata, Mammalia, Rodentia, Muridae. The record is from Ensembl.